This 71-nucleotide transfer RNA is filed under the name compost metagenome. RNAcentral's name for it is "tRNA-Trp". It matches the Rfam family "tRNA". Rfam says of the family: Transfer RNA (tRNA) molecules are approximately 80 nucleotides in length. Their secondary structure includes four short double-helical elements and three loops (D, anti-codon, and T loops). Further hydrogen bonds mediate the characteristic L-shaped molecular structure. tRNAs have two regions of fundamental functional importance: the anti-codon, which is responsible for specific mRNA codon recognition, and the 3' end, to which the tRNAs corresponding amino acid is attached (by aminoacyl-tRNA synthetases). tRNAs cope with the degeneracy of the genetic code in two manners: having more than one tRNA (with a specific anti-codon) for a particular amino acid; and 'wobble' base-pairing, i.e. permitting non-standard base-pairing at the 3rd anti-codon position. The record is from RNAcentral.
GCGCCUCUAGUGAAAUGGUAUCACGGUGGAUUCCAAACCCACAGUCCUGAGUUCGAUUCUUAGGGGGCGUG